Parasteatoda tepidariorum (common house spider) is the source of this 280-nucleotide long non-coding RNA. Lineage: Eukaryota; Metazoa; Arthropoda; Arachnida; Araneae; Theridiidae. The record is from RefSeq and is a predicted model, not a curated record.
CUUAGUAGGCAGCACACCUGCCACAUAUAAAGAGCAUCCAUUAGGAAAUCACCUGCACAACUUGUCCUUUUCUACCUGUCCGCCAUGAAUCUUCAGUAGGAUUGAUGGUGCGUACAACUAUGUUAGAAAAGCAUAACAUUUAAACUGCAUUUGUCUGAAAACCUUAAAAUACGAAGAAGAAAAAAUACAUUCAAGCUGUACAGUAUUCUUGUCUGAAUUUCAACAAUAAAAUGUAUAAUACUGCAAUGUAAUAAUAAUGAAAUAAAAAUGUAUCUUAUUA